UUUGCCUGAAAAUUUUUGUGCCAUCUUUUCAUGAUUUUAGGGUGUUGCUCACAAAAUUUCAAGUCAUUUGGAUAUCAUUUGAGGGUAGCUGUACUUCAAACCUACACUGUUACUUGCAUAAGAAGGCAACUAGUUGUGCAUGCUGAAUGUAGUGUAUGACUAGAGGCAAUUCAUUUGACUUACAACCCUUUGAUCCUGAGAUAGAUAGGACAUUUCAUAGAUUAGUUAGGCAUCAUUUUGUACCUUUUGAGCAUCCUGAGCAUUUUGUUAUUGGUAAUUUUGAACAUCCUGAUUUUGAGCAUUAUAGUUUUGAACAUUCUGAGAACAUGUCACAACC
This 337-nucleotide long non-coding RNA is filed under the name Glycine max (soybean). RNAcentral describes it as "long non-coding RNA (GMAX_LNC002619)". Lineage: Eukaryota; Viridiplantae; Streptophyta; Magnoliopsida; Fabales; Fabaceae. The record is from RNAcentral.